Molecule: ribosomal RNA, 423 nt
Filed under: Triticum aestivum (bread wheat)
Lineage: Eukaryota; Viridiplantae; Streptophyta; Magnoliopsida; Poales; Poaceae
Description: partial small subunit ribosomal RNA
Source: RNAcentral
AUGGCAAAGGCAUUCUACAUUAUAGUGGCUGCAGUCUUGCUAUGCCUCUUCUCUGUUGCAACGGUCUUGCUAUGCCCCUUGUGUGCUGCAACGUCCAUGCCACAUGCAUCUUCUAAAUCAUACAAGGAGUACAUCGUCUACAUCCAGAGGCCACCUCCAGAAGCUGAUAUCAUGGACAACGGCGCGCGCAACAGCUGGUUCCAGUCUUUCCUCCCUAGCAACCUAACUGACUCGGGUAAACCAUGCAUGGUCACCACUUUCGAUACCAUAAUUCACGACUUCGUCGCCUGGUUAACCGAGGCUGAGCUGGAGGUCAUGUCCAAAAAGCCCGGUGUUAGCCGCUGGACCGAGGUUGAAAUGAUGGAAUUGACCCAGGUUGGGAUGAGGAAUACACUGCAGGCAGGGUCGGGCUAUGGGUGGUGA